Salvelinus fontinalis (brook trout) is the source of this 1012-nucleotide long non-coding RNA. RefSeq lists it as uncharacterized. The record is from RefSeq and is a predicted model, not a curated record. Lineage: Eukaryota; Metazoa; Chordata; Actinopteri; Salmoniformes; Salmonidae. The transcript is spliced from 3 exons.
CAGCGUGUGUAUGACACCGAGCUGGAUGCACCCUCCCUUUCAUUCUGUGAAAGUGCGUAUAAAGCCAGAGAUGACAGCCGACAAUGUCCAUAUGGUAGAUCUAAGGAGCCAUGACUGCUGCUAUUGCUCUGCCAAAUAAAUUCUCUCUCUCUCUCUGCAUGCUGGGAGUGUUUGGUGCAUGCUGGGAAUUGUAUGUGCGAGUGUUGUCUGGAGUUGUUGCCUGUGUUUCCCUUCUUGUUUCCUUUUCUUGGUGGUUUUCCUUUUUCUAUGCAUGAUUAAGGUUAUUGUUUAUUUAAUUUAUUUGUUUAUGGUAGAACUAAGUAUAUUGUUUUUCUUGUUGGAAUUGCCCUGGCUUUGGCAGGGAUGACGACCCACAUGGGGACGCCGUCCCUGUCACUUCGGCACGGCUCUAGGUGUAUUACUGAAGCUACUGUCACUGCGGAGGAGUUCCUGGUCGCCGUAGGGGAGAAGGGUGAAGGAAAAGCAACCAACAAAUGCUCAGCAUAUGUGGGAACUCCUUCAAGACUGUUGGAAAAGCGUUCCUUAUGAAGUUGGUUGAGAGAAUGCCAAGAGUGUGGAAAGCCGUUAUCAAGGCAAAGGGAAUGAUCGACUUCACCUUUUUUGGAGGCUGCUGGAGGGCCCUGGCUGCACUCUGGAGCUUCUCUUCCACUCUUAAGGUCACCCAGGUGUUGGUCUGAGAGAAAUCAUAAACCUGCAUGCUUCUACGUGCCCUGCGCUGCUCAACACUCGCCACGCCAGCACUCAAAACCAUCAUCAGUCCAGCCUCAUACCACCUUGUUCCACCUAAACCCUUCAUUUCCCAGGACUUUCUCCAUCAAAAGCGAAGGCCUUUGAAGGAUUUAUCAACCUUUGUUUUUCCUCUAGAGAACUUUGUUUUUGUACCAGUAAGGUUAAGGCUCUUAGGUAUUGGGUCUGCUGUAGGUGUGUGAGAUGAGUGGAUUCCCAAACACCUGUGCUGUGUUCUGUGCUACUUACCUGUAUUGUGUUGUGU